CCCGAAUUGUGAAGAGCUAAAAUUAUAUAUAUAUUAAUGUUGAAUAAUUAUUUGUAAUAUAUUUUUUGUAAUUAUAUGUUAUUCGUUUUUCAAGAUAUCUGGUUUUUGAGGAAAUUAAUUUAAUUAAGCUGAAUUUUGAAUUUUUCUAUAUAUUUAGAUUUUAUUAAGAUUUAUGUAAUGUUCAAGGGGAUAAGCUUUUGAACAAAUUUAUAUAAUUAUGUAUUGUAUUAUUUGAUGUAGGAAUAGAAGUUUUCAUCUUUUGAAGUGUAUUAUUACUUGAUUUUAUAAUAUUUAAUUUUUGUUUUUUUAUAUUUUUUACUUGAAUUAUAAUUUAAAUUGUUUUUGUUUUGUAAUAAUGAUUGAAUUAGUAUAUUAAAUUGUUUUUAUAUAAUUGUUUGAUAGGUUAUCUAAAGGAAUUCGGCAAUUAAAUUUUCUGCCUGUUUAUUAAAAACAUGGCCUUUUGAUAAUAAUUUAAGGUCUGACCUGCUCUAUGAUUAAUUAAAUGGCUGCGGUAUUUUGACCGUGCAAAGGUAGCAUAAUCAUUAGUUUUUUAAUUGGAAGCUGGUAUGAAUGGUUGGACAAGAGAAUUACUGUCUCUGGAUAAUUUGAUUUGAAUUUUAUUUUUUAGUGAAAAAGCUUAAAUUUUUGUGAGGGACGAGAAGACCCUAUAGAAUUUUAUAGAUUAAUUUUGGUGAGGUUUUUAGACUAAUUGGUUUAGUUAAAAUUAAUUUGUUUUGUUGGGGUGAUGGAAAAAUUUAUUUAACUUUUUUUUAUUUUAUACAUUGAUAUAUGAGUGUUUGAUCCAUUAAUUAUGAUUAUAAGAUUAAAUUACCUUAGGGAUAACAGCGUUAUUAGUUUGGAGAGUUCUUAUCGAUAGACUAGAUUGCGACCUCGA
This 895-nucleotide ribosomal RNA is filed under the name Odontolabis cuvera cuvera. Its description in RNAcentral is "partial 16S ribosomal RNA". The stretch from base 393 to 641 matches the Rfam family "Archaeal large subunit ribosomal RNA", at positions 1786 to 2143 of the family's 2987-position model. Lineage: Eukaryota; Metazoa; Arthropoda; Insecta; Coleoptera; Lucanidae. The record is from RNAcentral.